CCAGACUCCUACGGGCGGCAGCAGUGAGGAAUAUUGGUCAAUGGGCGCGAGCCUGAACCAGCCAAGUAGCGUGAAGGAUGACUGUCCUACGGGUUGUAAACUUCUUUUAUAAAGGAAUAAAGUGAGGCACGUGUGCCUUUUUGUAUGUACUUUAUGAAUAAGGAUCGGCUAACUCCGUGCCAGCAGCCGCGGUAAUACGGAGGAUACGAGCGUUAUCCGGAUUUAUUGGGUUUAAAGGUGGCGUAGAUGGGUUGUUAAGUCAGUUGUGAAAGUUUGCGGCUCAACCGUAAAAUUGCAAUUGAUACUGGCAGCCUUGAGUACAGUUGAGGUAGGCGGAAUUCGUGGUGUAGCGGUGAAAUGCUUAGAUAUCACGAAGAACUCCGAUUGCGAAGGCAGCUCACUGGACUGCAACUGACACUGAGGCUCGAAAGUGUGGGUAUCAAACAGGAUUAGAUACCCUGGUAU
RNAcentral lists this ribosomal RNA (465 nucleotides) under uncultured bacterium. RNAcentral's name for it is "bacterial SSU rRNA". It matches the Rfam family "Bacterial small subunit ribosomal RNA", at positions 331 to 793 of the family's 1533-position model. The record is from RNAcentral.